UGGGAUGCCAAAUACGCCUCCA
This 22-nucleotide non-coding RNA is filed under the name Arabidopsis thaliana (thale cress). The record is from RNAcentral. Lineage: Eukaryota; Viridiplantae; Streptophyta; Magnoliopsida; Brassicales; Brassicaceae.